RNAcentral lists this ribosomal RNA (700 nucleotides) under Aquimarina sp. SRO_221. RNAcentral's name for it is "bacterial SSU rRNA". It matches the Rfam family "Bacterial small subunit ribosomal RNA", at positions 194 to 897 of the family's 1533-position model. Lineage: Bacteria; Pseudomonadati; Bacteroidota; Flavobacteriia; Flavobacteriales; Flavobacteriaceae. The record is from RNAcentral.
AUUAUGAUUAAAGAUUUAUUGCUAAAAGAUGGCUAUGCGUUCUAUUAGUUAGUUGGUAAGGUAACGGCUUACCAAGACAUCGAUAGAUAGGGGCCCUGAGAGGGGGAUCCCCCACACUGGUACUGAGACACGGACCAGACUCCUACGGGAGGCAGCAGUGAGGAAUAUUGGACAAUGGAGGCAACUCUGAUCCAGCCAUGCCGCGUGUAGGAAGACUGCCCUAUGGGUUGUAAACUACUUUUAUAGAGGAAGAAACAGUUCCACGUGUGGAACUCUGACGGUACUCUACGAAUAAGGAUCGGCUAACUCCGUGCCAGCAGCCGCGGUAAUACGGAGGAUCCAAGCGUUAUCCGGAAUCAUUGGGUUUAAAGGGUCCGUAGGCGGGUCUGUAAGUCAGUGGUGAAAGUUUUCGGCUUAACCGGAAAAUUGCCAUUGAUACUGCAGGUCUUGAAUUAUUAUGAAGUGGUUAGAAUAAGUAGUGUAGCGGUGAAAUGCAUAGAUAUUACUUAGAAUACCGAUUGCGAAGGCAGAUCACUAAUAAUGUAUUGACGCUAAGGGACGAAAGCGUGGGUAGCGAACAGGAUUAGAUACCCUGGUAGUCCACGCCGUAAACGAUGGUUACUAGCUGUUCGGACUUCGGUCUGAGUGGCUAAGCGAAAGUGAUAAGUAACCCACCUGGGGAGUACGUUCGCAAGAAUGA